This 316-nucleotide ribosomal RNA is filed under the name Gambusia holbrooki (eastern mosquitofish). RNAcentral describes it as "partial 16S ribosomal RNA". It matches the Rfam family "Bacterial large subunit ribosomal RNA", at positions 2175 to 2570 of the family's 2925-position model. The record is from RNAcentral. Lineage: Eukaryota; Metazoa; Chordata; Actinopteri; Cyprinodontiformes; Poeciliidae.
AGACGCACUAGCAGACCAUAAAAAACAUUUUUUUCAAAAAAAUGGAACCAACUGACCCCUGCUUCAAUGUCUUUGGUUGGGGCGACCCCGGAGUAAUAAAAAACCCCCGAGCGGACUGAAGACACCCUAGCUUCAUAAUAUAGAGCCGCAGCUCACAAAACCAGAACUUCUGACCCUAAGAUCCGACACAGUCGAUCAACGGACCAAGUUACCCUAGGGAUAACAGCGCAAUCCCCUUUCAGAGCCCCUAUCGACGAGGGGGUUUACGACCUCGAUGUUGGAUCAGGACAUCCUAAUGGUGCAGCCGCUAUUAAGG